RNAcentral lists this ribosomal RNA (373 nucleotides) under uncultured bacterium. RNAcentral's name for it is "bacterial SSU rRNA". It matches the Rfam family "Bacterial small subunit ribosomal RNA", at positions 523 to 898 of the family's 1533-position model. The record is from RNAcentral.
AUACGGAGGAUCCGAGCGUUAUCCGGAUUUAUUGGGUUUAAAGGGUGCGUAGGCGGUUCAAUAAGUCAGUGGUGAAAGUUUUCGGCUUAACCGGAAAAUUGCCGUUGAUACUGUUGGGCUUGAAUUUGGUUGCUGUGAGUGGAAUGUGUGGUGUAGCGGUGAAAUGCUUAGAUAUUACACAGAAUAUCGAUUGCGAAGGCAUCUCACAAAGCCAAUAUUGACGCUGAUGCACGAAAGUGUGGGGAUCAAACAGGAUUAGAUACCCUGGUAGUCCACACUGUAAACGAUGAUAACUCGCUGUCGGCGAUAGAUAGUCGGUGGCCAAGCGAAAGCGAUAAGUUAUCCACCUGGGGAGUACGACCGCAAGGUUGAA